UGUUCUAUGGAUAUUGAUAAACAUUUUAUACUUCAACUGUACAUUGUAAUCACCCAAGUUAGCAUACCUUUCCACGUAAAAUAGUUGCAAAUACUGACAUGAUUACUCAUUGAUGUUGAUCAACUAUUCAGGAUCUACUCAUGGCUAGAUAAUUGACCUUCUAGUGACACUUAAUAAUAUAUAGAUUGUUAUCCUGGACUGCAAAUCGAAGUACUCUUGGAACCUAUAUCUAUCAUACUCUUUUUAUCUGACCAUGAAUAUGCAGAAAAUAAUAUAGCAUCAAUAUAUGAAAUCGGCAUCGCUAGAUUGUGACAGAAGGUACUUACGUAUAAACAUAGCUUUUUGAUUUUUUAACAUCUUACACAUUAGUGGUCAAAAGUGUACCUCUUACAUCACGACGGUGUACCAUAACAUACUUUUGCAUCUGGGUUUAGUAUAGUUUCUUAAUGGAAAAAGUUCAUUUUUGGCCAUCCAACUUUUGUCUCGAUUUGAUUUUGGCCAUCGAACUCCAAAACCGGGUAUCUUUGGUCAUCCAACUCUUAAAACCGUUCAUUUUCGACCAUCGUGCGGUUUUGUUACCCGGUUUCGCUGACGUGGACGCCACGUGGCGGUGGGGUCCACUUGUCAGCCACAUCUCUCCUCUCCUCUCUCUUUUCAGUUGCUCAUCCUCCUCGCGAGUCCCAGGCAGCAACGCAGCGGCGCCACCGCACCCCGUGCCGGAGAUGGGGAACAGCCUCGGGGGCAAGUGCAAGGGCGCCAAGGUGAUGCAGCUAGACGGCACCUCCUUCCGCGUCAAGCCCCCCGCCGUCGCGGCCGACGUGCUGCGGGACCACCCGGGCUUCCAGCUGCUCGAGUCGGAGGAGGUCAAGCUCCAUGGCGCCCGCGCGCGCCUGCUGCCGCCCGACGCGCCGCUCCGCCGGGGCCGCCUCUACUUCCUCGUCGCACUCCCACUCUGCGCCCCCGCCGCCGUCGGGGCCAUGCGCCGCGCCUGGUCGGGCAACCUCUGCGUCGGGGCCCGCGAGCGGCUCGAGUCGCUCAUGCUCGCGCGCCGCUCCACCUCCGACCUCUCCUCGCUCCCGGCCCACGCCUCCGCCUCGGCGCACGCCAGCGCCAGGGUCACCUCGGAGCGGUCGCCCGGGAUACUGCGGAGCCCGCAGUUCGCCAAGACGCCCGAGUGGGGCGCCGGCUUCAUGCUGCCGCCGCCGCCAGCCAAGACGCCGCAGCGCAAAAACAGAGCAGAGCUUGAGCCGCUGGUGAAAUUAGCAAGAUAAACUCCACCGUGUGUCGAUUCCUUCCGUAUACAGCUCCGCUAGCACCUAAAGCUUCACCACACCCCCUCAAUUGCACCGCUCAUUGCCGGCAAGGUUGUGUCGCCAUUAUUGUCGUCCGCCAGCCACAGUACGCCAUCUCCACGGUGAGCACCUAUGCGCUGCCUUUUUUCGCUCGAGUUCUUGGUCCUAGACGUCUAAGUAGUUGCUUCGGAAGCUCAUGAGCAAGUCGUUGGCCGGAGUGUCACUGUCGUAAUUCGCCCACGCCGGCCAACCCGCGGCCGUUUCCGCCGUCGCCGAUGCAUGUCCUUCGCGUCCCCGCCGAAGGGGAGGGGGCGUGCUGCGGAGUCCGUCGCGUCCCCACCGGAGGAGAGGCCGCGCAGGGAGGCUGCACCACCGAGGGCGGCUCAGAGGCCGGCGGCUGCCGGUGGUGGAGACAGAAGAAAGAGAGAGGAGAGGGAGAGGAGAGAUGUGGCUGACAAGUGGACCCCACCGCCAUGCGGCGUCCACGUCAGUGAAACCGGGUAACAAAACUGACCGAUGGUCGAAAAUGAUCGGUUUUAAGAGUUGGAUGAUCAAAGAUAUCCGGUUUUGAAGUUUGAUGGCCAAAACCAAACCGAGGCAAGAGUUAUGGUCAAAAAUAGACUUUUUCCUUUCUUAAUUUAUGCUUGAUAAGUCGAGAUGUCAGUUGGCGACUCGUACAAAUAGGCUGAUGUAAACAUUCAGAAUGGCCUUGAAUUUGAUAUUCACAAAAUUAAUAGUCAGUAGCCAGUACUGCUGAGAAUCUCUCUAAAACGAAUUCCCAGCCAAGCUCGGGCACCCGAUAGCGCCACGUCACCCGUUAGCUAGCUAGCCGUUGGAUCCAACCAGCUAUGGAUUUCUACCGUUCGAUACGGAUCGGUUGGGACCUUUCACCCGUUAAACCGCUAACUUGGAUGAUCGCGAAUUCUCGCGAACCCGCUCGAGGGGGGGGACCUCAUCCCCUUGGCAGCUCCGCCUGCUGCGCCGCCCAUUGCCUGACGGCGAAAAUCCGCCCGAGCGAGGACCUCAUCCCCUCUGCUUGCAGCACCACUCUUUGCCCGGCGCUUGCUGUUGCUGUACCGCGGUAGCCGCCUCGCACCCCACCUCUCAGGCCUCCCUUCCCUUCUAUCUUGAAGCUCCAGAAUCCACUUAUUGCGCGAAGCCUCGCAGUUGGCCUCUUCGACGUCGCUACCACCUCCAUGCUCGCAGUCGAGGCCGCCGAGCUGAGCGUAGCUUUCGCGGCGACGCGGUGCCGAGCGCAGAGCAAGAACGGGGCCCACAGGCGGUGUCUUAUCCUCUCCUCAGCUCCUCCUCACAAGCACUGAAAGGAGCAGAGCAGCAUAUAUGACGCUCGUCCUUGCCUGUGGCGCCGCUAUCCGCGCGAAGCAGGAUUUAGGAGAAAAACACAUCGGCAUACUAUGAUUGUUCGUUGCGAGGUGCUGCAACAUAAUUCCAACGGAGCAGUGAAAGGAUUGUGACGCUGGCCACCAUGGCAACCAGCAGCCCGUGAGGUGUUCGAUGUUCUGCUCCAGCCUUUGCUAGACUACGAGUGCCACUGCAGGAAAAAGGACCAUUAGUACCGGGCGCAUGGCGCCCUUAGUACCGGCUGGCCGGUACUAAAUGGACUGUCCAUUUAGUACCGGUCGCAGCGCCCGGUACUAAAUGUACCAUCCUUUAGAAAAAAUACAUCCGGAUAAAUGCGCGUGCAUCGGGGUUCGAACUUGUGACAUGUGGCCUCGCACGUAGUCUCCUUUACCAUUCCAUCCACACAAUCCAUGUGAGUGGAUGGAAGAUGUUAUCCUUUUGAAGUAACCCAGGUGGACCAUUUAGUACCGGGUCAUAACAACACCCGGUACUAAAUGCCACCAUUUAGUACCGGGUGGUAUUAAAAACCGGUACUAAAUAGUUGGGGGGCCCCGGGAGACAUUUAGUACCGGGCUAUAACACCAACCGGUACUAAAUUGUGGCAUUUAGUACCGGGUGGAGAUAUGACCCGGUAAUAAAUGGCUCCGGGGGGCACUGUGUUGUAGAACCGGUACUAAAUUGACAUUAGUACCGGCUUUAAAGCAACCGGUACUAAUCGGAGGUGGACGAAUGCCACUUUUUCUAGUAGUGUGCUCGUUACAUAAUUGCUAGGUUAAGUUCAUUCCAUGUUUCAUUAUUAAGAAAUCAUACUGCAAACCCUCUGAUAUCAGUAGACUAGACUAGAACAUGAAGUCCGAACACAUCUAUUGAUUUAAAGUGAUCCUUACCUUCUAACUUCCUUAUGUAUACUGAUGUUGCAGCUUAUAUAGCACCAACUGGUACUAUAAUUCCUCAAAAACACAGUCCAGUCUUAUUAGAAUAAUCAAUAUUUGAUUGCAGUCAUGAACUAUUAAUAUUCAUUGUAAAUUCUAAUUAUUAUUAAGAAUUGGUAGAAUCAUUUCUUGAUGUGGUCGUAAAAAAAAUCCUGCAACAUGCUAAAAAAAUUGUCAAUAACUAAAGCAUAUUUUAUUUCUCUUAGAUAAGAAUUAAACUAAACAAAGUUCUCUCUAUCCACAAAUAACUUUCCCUAUAAUAAUUCUACCUAGCCAUGCAUUAAGUGAAUAAGAAGUUUAUAUUCUUCUUGCACCGGUCAUAUAUCCAUUAUGUUUUCACGAGGAUACUUUAUGUAUCUAAUUGGACAGAAACAGUUUCUCACAAACCAUUAGGCAGUACAACAAACCCAAGGUAUGUCGAGAGAAGAGGCGUAUGAGGCUAACUUGUUCACAUGCAUUACCAGAAUUCGUCUAAGCUUCUAUCUUCCUGUACAUUCCAAUUCUUUCGUCAUGAUAUAUAUGCUCUAAUUUAUAACAAUUUGUGUAAUGCAGAUGAUUGUUGAGAAGGAUAUGAGAGGAGCUGCCCGAGCAGCUUGCCCAUUCAAUCAUGAAAUUUGCACUUUGUAAGGAUUACAACUAUUCACUCUAUUCCCACUCCAGCAAAGGAAGCUCCAGUUACAGCCGCCCAGUCUCAUGUUUCUCAGAAUCCCAACAGACAUUGAAGCACCCAAAUUCGCACCAACAGGGAAAUAUUCAGCUAAAUCAGCAUACGAGAAAUGUUGCAAACCUGUUGGGAUCGUGGCUUAGAGGUUACUGUCCACAUCUUAAACCUUGGAAGAGGAUCUGGAAGAGCUGGGCACCCGGUUUGCAAGGUUUAGCUCCACAACCUGGUGAUCACUUCUUCAAGGACUGGUGGGAUCGAUCAGGCGAGCACAAGGGUGGCUGACCAAGCUAAAAAGGGCCUGAAUUCAGUUGUAAUCUUGGUAGUUUGGUCUCUCUGGAAUCACAGGAAUCGUUGUGUGUUUGAUGGUCUGCAACCUAGUCUAAGUGGGCUUCUCUCUACCAUUAGGGAUGAACUGCAUCUGUGGCAUUUGGCUGGGGCUCAAGAUUUACUCAUCUCCUCGCCCUGCAGCCCAAUGGUUAGCCUGAUAACCACUGCCAGUUUUCCCUUUGGUUUUGCUAAACAUAGGACUUCAGUUUUGUUUCACAAGCAAAGCAUGCAUUUAUUUU
RNA transcript from Panicum virgatum (switchgrass), 4816 nucleotides. RefSeq lists it as uncharacterized. The transcript is spliced from 5 exons. Lineage: Eukaryota; Viridiplantae; Streptophyta; Magnoliopsida; Poales; Poaceae. The record is from RefSeq and is a predicted model, not a curated record.